AUCCGCCAUGUCUACACAGUCUUAAGCAACAGGCCUGACAAUGUGAGCAAUUUUAUUCGGAGCUUAGGGGCAAUUUUCGGUCCGGAUACAAGGCUCGUGUAUAAGCACUAUGCUACCUUAUAUUUCGUGUUUCUAUUUGAUAACUCUGAGAAUGAGUUGGCCAUGCUCGACUUAAUACAAGUUUUUGUAGAAACUCUGGACAAAUGCUUCAGAAGUGUAUGCGAGCUUGAUGUAGUAUUCAAUUAUAGCAAGAUGCAUAUCA
This 262-nucleotide unclassified non-coding RNA is filed under the name Hevea brasiliensis (rubber tree). Lineage: Eukaryota; Viridiplantae; Streptophyta; Magnoliopsida; Malpighiales; Euphorbiaceae. The record is from RNAcentral.